Molecule: ribosomal RNA, 679 nt
Filed under: Salmonella enterica subsp. enterica serovar Anatum
Lineage: Bacteria; Pseudomonadati; Pseudomonadota; Gammaproteobacteria; Enterobacterales; Enterobacteriaceae
Description: partial 23S ribosomal RNA
Rfam family: Bacterial large subunit ribosomal RNA
Source: RNAcentral
CCCAGACAGCCAGGAUGUUGGCUUAGAAGCAGCCAUCAUUUAAAGAAAGCGUAAUAGCUCACUGGUCGAGUCGGCCUGCGCGGAAGAUGUAACGGGGCUAAACCAUGCACCGAAGCUGCGGCAGCGAACGUAUCACUUAAAGCGAUUCAGCGGGUUACGAUUGACGGAGCGAAGCGACGUCAAAGCGUAUACAAAGUCGAGUCGGUUUAAGGAUACGUUCGUUGGGUAGGGGAGCGUUCUGUAAGCCUGUGAAGGUGGCCUGUGAGGGUUGCUGGAGGUAUCAGAAGUGCGAAUGCUGACAUAAGUAACGAUAAAGCGGGUGAAAAGCCCGCUCGCCGGAAGACCAAGGGUUCCUGUCCAACGUUAAUCGGGGCAGGGUGAGUCGACCCCUAAGGCGAGGCCGAAAGGCGUAGUCGAUGGGAAACAGGUUAAUAUUCCUGUACUUGGUGUUACUGCGAAGGGGGGACGGAGAAGGCUAUGUUGGCCGGGCGACGGUUGUCCCGGUUUAAGCGUGUAGGCGUGUGUUCCAGGUAAAUCCGGUUCACUUUAACACUGAGGCGUGAUGACGAGGCACUACGGUGCUGAAGCAACAAAUGCCCUGCUUCCAGGAAAAGCCUCUAAGCAUCAGGUAACAUCAAAUCGUACCCCAAACCGACACAGGUGGUCAGGUAGAGAAUAC